CUUUGUGGAGAAGGUUGACAAUGGCACCACCUUGUGCAAAAUCUGAUCAUAACAGUUGAUUUCAAAGCGCAACUCUCUGACUACAUACACGUACAUAAACUGCAAGCGACGCGACAAACUACAACGGUUUCUAUUAUAAUGAACAACUCUGCGACGCGGUGAAAUGAAGUUUGUCGCGUCGCGUCAGAUGGGGCUUGAGCGUCGGGGCGUCGCCUUGGCUCGACCCGAACCAAUCGGGAUUCCGCUCAGAACUUUGUAAACAACACAGUUGCACGCUGUAUGAAAACUUUACUACGAGAGGAUGUCGCGUGCCGAGGACCGCCAGAACAUCACUCAACCAGGCUGGAAUUCCUCCAGGAAGGCCGAAAGAAGCCUGGCACUUGCUUGCAGCUUGCAGCCAGGCUUGGGCAGCUGGGAUCUGGAAGGAGUUCCCUGCAGUUCUGGAGCACUCUGGCACCGCUCACACCCCCUACAUCAAACCCGUACCACACACCCCGCCUGCUCCCGCUCCACCUUCUUCUGCACAACACAAUACAGAGGAGCUCUGUGCUUCUGUACACCCACACACACACACACACAGAGAGAGACAGCGAGCUGUAAAUGCGAUUCAAGGAUUCAAGCAGGCGCCCCUCAGUUGCCGACUCUGCUCUGUGUGGCACUUGACACAGGCGCUCUCGCAUAAUCUGCCUAUUAUUCAUUGUUAGUGGCGAGACUCUUCAACACACUUCAAGGUCUAUUCAUCUGCAGAAACAAGUACUGAACUGGGUAUCAGCACUGUGGAAACGGUCCCCCAUUUGCCCUUUCAAAUUCGCCUACCAUGCAAGAUACGGCGUUGAACAGGAGCUGUUUCUUCAGCUGGAAUCUAUAGUGGUUUCUUUCCCCCAAGAGCGUCACGGCACCUGCAAGGAGCCGCGAGAGUUUUGGCUACACCAGUAAGGCACCGCAAGCCCCGCCUACCUGCUGAAAGGCAGCCUGCUGACACCCUCCUGAUCGGUUGUCUGGGAUUCUCAGCAGCCAAAAAAGCAGUAAAAAAGGAAUUCCUUCCUAAUGGUCCAUGAAAGCUGUGAUUCACCACUUAUUAUUGUUCGAGCCCUGGCGAAUCUUUCCAUAUUACCUCAGCAUUGUAACCUUCAGAAAACCUGUCCGUCACACUCUAGGGUUUAUUUUCACAUCGUGCCACCUCGUCUCUCUGUUCUGACUUGCUUGAGCAGAUCUAUGGAAUACAGUCGAGUAAUCAAUGGCCCAGAAAGCUCUUCCAGCUGGACACUUGUCAUUGGUGAUGGAGGAAAACCAUGGCAACCGGCCGCUUCUAAAGGACCGCUGGCGUUAGGGAGGUCAGUGCCCUGCCACGAACCCCCUCGCAAGUAAACAGACUUGACGGGGAAGGGCUUUCAGACUUGGACUGUGUUCCUUUCAAUAAUUGCGCUCAUUGUUCUCCAGCCACUGUCAGUUAUGGUCGCAAGCUGUUUGGUAGGCCCCUGUCUGUCUGCAACCCCCCUACGCUAGCAGUGGUAGUGUUGCACCCUCAUGGCUAUCUGCUUGUGCCAGGGCUGAGAUGCCAGCUUGGUGGCCCUGAUGCCCUGAAACUGAUGUGUCUGACAGUGACAGUGUAGGUGUGCUUAGCAGAAUGAAAAUAAAACUUCCUGCCUUCCUUUUGACA
This is a long non-coding RNA of Cyprinus carpio (common carp), 1660 nucleotides long. NCBI's taxonomy places the organism in Eukaryota, Metazoa, Chordata, Actinopteri, Cypriniformes, Cyprinidae. The record is from Ensembl.